AGUGAAGCGGGAAAAGCUCAAAUUUAAAAUCUGGUGGUCUUCGGCCAUCCGAGUUGUAAUCUAGAGAAGUGUUACCCGCGUCGGACCGUGUACAAGUCUCCUGGAAUGGAGCGUCAUAGAGGGUGAGAAUCCCGUCUUUGACACGGACUACCGAGGCUUUGUGGUGCGCUCUCAAAGAGUCGAGUUGUUUGGGAAUGCAGCUCAAAAUGGGUGGUAAAUUCCAUCUAAAGCUAAAUAUUGGCGAGAGACCGAUAGCGAACAAGUACCGUGAGGGAAAGAUGAAAAGAACUUUGGAAAGAGAGUUAAACAGUACGUGAAAUUGCUAAAAGGGAAACGCUUGAAGUCAGUCGCGUUGGCCGGAAAUCAGCCUUGCUUUUGCGAGGUGUACUUUCUGGUUGACGGGCCAGCAUCAGUUUUGACCGGUGGAAAAAGUCUAGGGGAAUGUGGCAUCUUCGGAUGUGUUAUAGCCCUUGGUCGUAUGCAUCGGUUGGGACUGAGGAACUCAGCACGCCGCAAGGCCGGGUCUUUGACCACGUUCGUGCUUAGGAUGCUGGCAUAAUGGCUUUAAUCGACCCGUCUUGAAACACGGACCAAGGAGUCUAACAUGCCUGCGAGUGUUUGGGUGGAAAACCCGGACGCGUAAUGAAAGUGAAAGUUGAGAUCCCUGUCAUGGGGAGCAUCGACGCCCGGACCAAAAGUUUUCUGACGGCCCUGCGGUAGAGCAUGUAUGUUGGGACCCGAAAGAUGGUGAACUAUGCCUGAAUAGGGUGAAGCCAGAGGAAACUCUGGUGGAGGCUCGUAGCGAUUCUGACGUGCAAAUCGAUCGUCAAAUUUGGGUAUAGGGGCGAAAGACUAAU
This 857-nucleotide ribosomal RNA is filed under the name Psathyrella griseovelata. RNAcentral's name for it is "Psathyrella sp. IOI-2021a partial large subunit ribosomal RNA". It matches the Rfam family "Eukaryotic large subunit ribosomal RNA", at positions 92 to 935 of the family's 3401-position model. The record is from RNAcentral. Lineage: Eukaryota; Fungi; Basidiomycota; Agaricomycetes; Agaricales; Psathyrellaceae.